UACGUAGGGUGCAAGCGUUGUCCGGAAUUAUUGGGCGUAAAGAGCUCGUAGGCGGUCUGUCGCGUCGGAUGUGAAAAUCCAGGGCUUAACCCUGGACCUGCAUUCGAUACGGGCAGACUAGAGGCAGGUAGGGGAGAACGGAAUUCCCGGUGUAGCGGUGAAAUGCGCAGAUAUCGGGAGGAACACCGGUGGCGAAGGCGGUUCUCUGGGCCUGUACUGACGCUGAGGAGCGAAAGCGUGGGGAGCGAACAGG
RNAcentral lists this ribosomal RNA (253 nucleotides) under uncultured bacterium. RNAcentral's name for it is "partial 16S ribosomal RNA". It matches the Rfam family "Bacterial small subunit ribosomal RNA", at positions 524 to 776 of the family's 1533-position model. The record is from RNAcentral.